CCUACGGGAGGCAGCAGUGGGGAAUAUUGGACAAUGGGGGGAACCCUGAUCCAGCCAUGCCGCGUGUGUGAAGAAGGCCCUCGGGUUGUAAAGCACUUUCAGUGAGGAAGAACGCCUGGUGGUUAAUACCCAUCAGGAAAGACAUCACUCACAGAAGAAGCACCGGCUAACUCCUUGCCAGCAGCCGCGGUAAUACGGAGGGUGCGAGCGUUAAUCGGAAUUACUGGGCGUAAAGCGCGCGUAGGUGGCUUGAUAAGCCGGUUGUGAAAGCCCCGGGCUCAACCUGGGAACGGCAUCCGGAACUGUCAAGCUAGAGUGCAGGAGAGGAAGGUAGAAUUCCCGGUGUAGCGGUGAAAUGCGUAGAGAUCGGGAGGAAUACCAGUGGCGAAGGCGGCCUUCUGGACUGACACUGACACUGAGGUGCGAAAGCGUGGGUAGCAAACAGGAUUAGAUACCCGUGUAGUC
Molecule: ribosomal RNA, 465 nt
Filed under: Vreelandella stevensii
Lineage: Bacteria; Pseudomonadati; Pseudomonadota; Gammaproteobacteria; Oceanospirillales; Halomonadaceae
Description: partial 16S ribosomal RNA
Rfam family: Bacterial small subunit ribosomal RNA
Source: RNAcentral